Long non-coding RNA from Sitodiplosis mosellana (orange wheat blossom midge), 395 nucleotides. RefSeq lists it as uncharacterized. Lineage: Eukaryota; Metazoa; Arthropoda; Insecta; Diptera; Cecidomyiidae. The record is from RefSeq and is a predicted model, not a curated record. The transcript has 3 exons.
AGUCAGAAUAUUUGUGGUUUACAAAACGAUUGGAAACAAAGAGCUCGGGUACUUUGCUCAUAUGACGCAACGGACAGUACUGAGCUUAAUCUCAGCGCUAAUGAGAUCAUAUUUGUGACGGAAUUAAAUCCCCUCAAUUCUGAUUAUAUGUAUGGAAAACAAGGCCUGAUAAAUGGCUUAGUACCAAAAGCAUUCUUGGAACUUUUGGAAGAAUAAUUUUCUUGUGGUAUGGCAUCGGAGUAUAUUGUUUCGAUGUUUCGAUGUUCUGAUAUCAUUUUGCCUCCUAACAUUCAAUUAAAUCUGUUCGCAAAUAUUUAUUCUAUUCCUUUAGAAAUUUAAUUGUAAUAAAUACUCUCUUUGCUUCAGGUUCACAUAUUCUUAAAAUACGCAUAGUU